Molecule: transfer-messenger RNA, 349 nt
Filed under: Actibacterium atlanticum
Lineage: Bacteria; Pseudomonadati; Pseudomonadota; Alphaproteobacteria; Rhodobacterales; Roseobacteraceae
Description: Alphaproteobacteria transfer-messenger RNA
Rfam family: Alphaproteobacteria transfer-messenger RNA
About the family: Bacterial tmRNA, also known as 10Sa RNA or SsrA, is named for its dual tRNA and mRNA-like properties. Its role is to liberate the mRNA from a stalled ribosome.
Source: Rfam by way of RNAcentral
ACGCUUGAAACCCGCCGUGGUUUCCCCUAUCUCAGGUAUGUCCUUCGGGACUAUGGCAAUAAACGCGCUCGUAAUAAGCGGAUCGGACCCGGGGGCGGUACCCGGCGGCUCCACCAAUCAUCCUUCAUUUGGGGAUCAUGGGGCCGAAAUAGGAUCGACGGACGUCUAAAGGGGUUAGCUUUUGCUCGGUGAGGAACCACCGUUACCGGUCCGAUUAAGCUAGUUGCAAAUGACAACAAAGCUCCGGUUGCUCUGGCUGCUUAAGCAGUCCGAAAGACCGAAAUUUAAGCCCUGACGCUUUGCAGCCUCAGGCGGGGUUCGCAGGCACCUGGCAACAGAAGCCUGUAUU